AAGGUUUUAAGUUAACUUAAACUAAUAGUCUUCAAAAUUAUAUAUAAAGAGAAAUAUUCCUUUAAGCCUUA
RNAcentral lists this transfer RNA (71 nucleotides) under Isoteinon lamprospilus. RNAcentral's name for it is "tRNA-Trp". Lineage: Eukaryota; Metazoa; Arthropoda; Insecta; Lepidoptera; Hesperiidae. The record is from RNAcentral.